RNAcentral lists this ribosomal RNA (639 nucleotides) under uncultured Actinomycetes bacterium. Its description in RNAcentral is "bacterial SSU rRNA". It matches the Rfam family "Bacterial small subunit ribosomal RNA", at positions 232 to 885 of the family's 1533-position model. Lineage: Bacteria; Bacillati; Actinomycetota; Actinomycetes. The record is from RNAcentral.
CGCGGCCUAUCAGCUUGUUGGUGAGGUAACGGCUCACCAAGGCAUCGACGGGUAGCUGGUCUGAGAGGACGAUCAGCCACACUGGGACUGAGACACGGCCCAGACUCCUACGGGAGGCAGCAGUAGGGAAUCUUGCGCAAUGGGCGAAAGCCUGACGCAGCAACGCCGCGUGGGGGAUGAAUGCCUUCGGGUUGUAAACCCCUUUCAGCAGGGACGAAAAUGACGGUACCUGCAGAAGAAGCUCCGGCCAACUACGUGCCAGCAGCCGCGGUAAUACGUAGGGAGCGAGCGUUGUCCGGAAUUAUUGGGCGUAAAGAGCUCGUAGGCGGUUCAGUCAGUCGGGUGUGAAAACUCAAGGCUCAACCUUGAGACGCCACUCGAUACUGCUGUGACUUGAGUCCGGUAGAGGAGUGUGGAAUUCCUGGUGUAGCGGUGAAAUGCGCAGAUAUCAGGAGGAACACCAGCGGCGAAGGCGGCACUCUGGGCCGGUACUGACGCUGAGGAGCGAAAGCAUGGGGAGCAAACAGGAUUAGAUACCCUGGUAGUCCAUGCCGUAAACGUUGGGCACUAGGUAUGGGAUCAUAUCAACGGAUUCCGUGCCGUAGCUAACGCAUUAAGUGCCCCGCCUGGGGAGUACGG